RNAcentral lists this ribosomal RNA (1257 nucleotides) under Hyalopterus pruni. RNAcentral describes it as "16S ribosomal RNA". The record is from RNAcentral. Lineage: Eukaryota; Metazoa; Arthropoda; Insecta; Hemiptera; Aphididae.
AAUUAAGUUUAUUAAUAUUUUUUUUUUUUUUUGAUUUUUUAUAAAAAUAAUUUAUUUAUUUGAUGUUUUAGUAUUAAUUAAAAACUAAUUUAUAGAUUUAUAGUUUAAUAGUAUUGUGAAAGAAAAUUUAAAAUUUUUAAAAGAAUUAUUAUAGUACCUUUUGUAUCAGGGUUGAUUAAAAUUUUUAAUUUUUUUUUAAUUUCUCAAAAUUUAUAGAGUUAAUUUUAUUAUUAAUUUAUUGUAUUAUAAAUAUUUAUAAAAUAAUAUUAGUUUUGAAAUUUAAUUCGUUAUAUUAUAUUUAGUUAUUUAAGAUUUAAAUUUAAUUUAAAAUUUUAAAAGUUAUUUUAAUUUUAUUAAUUAAUAUUUUAAAUUUAAAUUAUUUUAGGGAUAAGCUUGAAAUUUAUAUAUAAUAAUUUUUUUAUUUAAAUAAUUUAUAGGAAUAGAAAUUUUUAUUUAAGUUUGUAAAAAUUUAUUAUUUAUUUAUAUUUAAUUUAUUAAAAGUUAUUUAUUUUUAAUAUUAAAUUUUAUUAAUUAAUAUUUUAUUAAUAGUAAUAAUGAUUAAAUUAGUAUAAUUUUUAUUUAUAAAUUAUGAAUUCGGCAAAAAUUAUUUUCAUCUGUUUAACAAAAACAUUGUAUUAAGUUUAAUUUAAUAUAGGAUCUGCUCAAUGAUUUUUUAGAUAGCUGCAGUAUUUUGACUGUGCAAAGGUAGCGUAAUAAUUAGUCUUUUAAUUGAGGACUUGUAUGAAAGAUUUGAUGAGAAAUAGACUUUAUUAUUUAUAUAAUUAAAAUUUUAUUUUUAAGUAAAAAAGCUUAAAUUAUUUAAAGGGACGAUAAGACCCUAUAAAACUUUAUAAAUUUAAAUUUUAAUUUUUUUGGUUUAUAAAUAUUUUAUUUUUUAAAUUUAUUUUAUUGGGGUGAUAAAAAAAAAUAAUAAACUUUUUUUAAAAUUAAACAUUAUUUAAUGAUUUAUUGAAUUAAAAUUUUUAAUUAAAGGAAAAAGUUACUUUAGGGAUAACAGCGUAAUUAAUUUUUUAAGUUCAAAUUUAAAAAUUAGUUUGCGACCUCGAUGUUGAAUUAAGAUUAAUCUUAGGUGCAAAAUUUUAAGUUUUAGGUCUGUUCGACCUUUAAAUUCUUACAUGAUUUGAGUUCAAACCGGUGUAAGCCAGGUUGGUUUCUAUCUUUUAAAAAUUAAUUUAUUUUAGUACGAAAGGAUUAAAUAAUUAAAUUAAAUUUUAUUUAAUGAAUUAAAUUAAUUUA